UUUAGACCAAUGAAAUUUGAGCUGGGCAUGGCUUUGACUCUUCGUCUUGGGGUGAAACAGUCCUUUUUGGAGCCACAGCCAACCUGGACACACUGCCUGCAGAAGAUGGCUUGUGGAUGAAGAGGAAAAUGAAGAUGAAGUUUCACAGGAAGAUGUUCCACGCUCACCCCGUUGGAGAA
This is a long non-coding RNA of Melanotaenia boesemani (Boeseman's rainbowfish), 179 nucleotides long. RefSeq lists it as uncharacterized. The record is from RefSeq and is a predicted model, not a curated record. The transcript has 2 exons. Lineage: Eukaryota; Metazoa; Chordata; Actinopteri; Atheriniformes; Melanotaeniidae.